RNAcentral lists this ribosomal RNA (845 nucleotides) under uncultured Gammaproteobacteria bacterium. Its description in RNAcentral is "bacterial SSU rRNA". It matches the Rfam family "Bacterial small subunit ribosomal RNA", at positions 39 to 873 of the family's 1533-position model. Lineage: Bacteria; Pseudomonadati; Pseudomonadota; Gammaproteobacteria. The record is from RNAcentral.
GCGGCAUGCUUAACACAUGCAAGUCGAACGGAAACGAUGGAAGCUUGCUUCCAGGCGUCGAGUGGCGGACGGGUGAGUAAUGCUUGGGAAUCUGCCUAAUAGUGGGGAACAACUCGGGGAAACUCGGGCUAAUACCGCAUAAUCUCUUCGGAGGAAAGGGGGCCUCUACAUGUAAGCUCUCGCUAAUAGAUGAGCCCAAGUCAGAUUAGCUUGUUGGUAAGGUAACGGCUUACCAAGGCUACGAUCUGUAGCUGGUCUGAGAGGAUGAUCAGCCACACUGGGACUGAGACACGGCCCAGACUCCUACGGGAGGCAGCAGUGGGGAAUAUUGCACAAUGGGCGAAAGCCUGAUGCAGCAAUGCCGCGUGUGUGAAGAAGGCUCUAGGGUUGUAAAGCACUUUCAAUAAGGAAGAAAAGCAUAAGGCUAAUAACCUUAUUCAUUGACGUAACUUAUACAAGAAGCACCGGCUAAUUCCGUGCCAGCAGCCGCGGUAAUACGGAAGGUGCAAGCGUUAAUCGGAAUUACUGGGCGUAAAGCGCGCGUAGGCUGUUAUCUAAGUCGGAUGUGAAAUCCUCGGGCUCAACCUGGGAACUGCAUCCGAAACUGAAUAACUAGAGUAUGGGAGAGGUAAGUAGAAUUUCCGGUGUAGCGGUGAAAUGCGUAGAUAUCGGAAGGAAUACCAGUGGCGAAGGCGGCUUACUGGACCAAUACUGACGCUGAGGUGCGAAAGCGUGGGGAGCGAACAGGAUUAGAUACCCUGGUAGUCCACGCCGUAAACGAUGAGAACUAGAUGUUGGGAGGGUUAGCCUCUCAGUGUCGCAGCUAACGCAUUAAGUUCUCCGCC